Long non-coding RNA from Homo sapiens (human), 915 nucleotides. Ensembl annotates it as long intergenic non-protein coding RNA 1081. The record is from Ensembl. Lineage: Eukaryota; Metazoa; Chordata; Mammalia; Primates; Hominidae.
GAUUCAUUUCCCCGGCUUUUUGCAGGGUGGGGAGGACAGAGAAGCUGCAGGGAGAGAUGAAGUUUUUUCCUUGAGGAUGAAAAGCUCUUAACCUUGCACGUUUGGCUUCUUCUAUUCAAUUUUUUUAAAAGCAGAGAUAGGGAGGUAUGUGAUUAAUAGCAAAAGACAGCAUUUAAGGACCGCCAGGUGCCAGGUGUUCUAAACGUGCCAUGUAUUUUAGCUCACAGAAUCCUCCCCACAAAGCCGAGAAGCAGGAAGCAGCAACCCUCCCAGAUGAAGAAGCGAAGGCUCGGAAAAGCUAAGUAACUUCUCCAAGCUGACGCAGCUCGUGAGAGGAGGGACUGGGAUUCAAAUCCCUGCAGGGGGAGACCAGCAGCCCCGACUUCAGCCGCCAUGCCUCCUGCCUGAGAAGCUAGCUGCGAAGGUUCCAGAAGGAGACUGCCCUCCGGGAACAGAAACAGCGCAUGACUGCGACCUGUCUGCAAAAAUCUUGAUCACUUGUAAAUCCUUCUCCACCUGAUAAGUUAUCACAUUGGCUCAUGAUGUUUUUUUUCAUUCUCACCCUAUGGCGUGGAUGCUGUUACUACCCCAUUUUACAAAGGAGUAAAGUGAGGCCCAGAGAGAACAGUUAAAUCACUUCCCCAGCUUCACUCAACUCAUCUACGGUGAGUCGACGGUACACAUGCCCUUCCACAACACAAAGGUCUCCACUUUGCCACGUGUCACUCUGAUGGUUCCAGGUGCAGAUUUUGCGUCUGCUUCUUGACUUCUAAUGGCUGCACCAUUUUGCAUUGGAUGGUUAUACCAUCAUUUAUUUGACUCAUCUCCUGUGCACAAGCAUCUAGUUUAUCUGCAAACUUUUGCUACCAAAAACAAUGCUGCAAUGAAUAAAUAAGCUGAUGCCUGCUUCUAAGC